GGGCUGGGGCCGAGGCUGAGGCUGAGGCUGAGGCUGGGGCUGGGGCUGGGGCUGGGGCCGGGGCCGGGGCCGGGGCUGGGAC
This 82-nucleotide microRNA precursor is filed under the name Notamacropus eugenii (tammar wallaby). RNAcentral's name for it is "miRNA (ENSMEUG00000017977.1)". The record is from RNAcentral. Lineage: Eukaryota; Metazoa; Chordata; Mammalia; Diprotodontia; Macropodidae.